UGGAGAGCUGGACAUGUGGAGGCCGACAGGAAGGUGAAGAAGUCAUCUGCGUGCUGUGAGGGUGGCGCACCCCAACUCCAUGGGGACAGAAGGUCCUGCAUUUAGGACCCUUCCAGACCUCACACCUAUGUAUCUCUUCAUCUGGCUGAUUACUUAUAUCCUUUCAAAGACGCUUCUUAGUAAACUGUGCCUCCCUCACAUGGCCAGCGGAGAAGGGCCUUGCCCUACCUCUCAGACUGCAGCCCUGAGCCACUCCUUGGAGGUGAGGAGCACCAUUCACCUGAGCAGCUCCCCGCCCUGGUGUCUGAGAAAUAAAUCUGCCUUCAGUCAUACGGUUCUACCAAUCUGAGCACACGACCACCUGAUAGGGUACUGAGGAUGGCUUCUGACCUGGAGGCAUCAAGGACCUGAAGGCAGUAACCAUUUCAGAGGACAGCCACAUCCCUCAAAUUACAAACAUCUAAAAUGUCCAUUAACUGUUGAGUGGAUAUAUAAAUUCUGAUGUUUUAUAAAAUGGCAUACCCUACAUCAAUGAAGAUGAAUGAAUUACUUCUGCAUAAAACAAUAUACAUGCAUCUAACCAAUAUGACACUGAGUGAAAAAAGACAUCCAUAGAAGAGCACAGCUCACCAUUCAGGAGCAUCACCCUGGUCCAAGCCACCUUCAGCUCUCACCUAGACUAACACAGUUCUUCCUGUCUCCAUGAGCCUCCUCUCCAGUUGCUGUAUUGCAAAUAACAAUCAAAACAGCAUUUAAAAGCAAAACAACAACAGCAAACAAAUGGUAUCUAUCCAGGUCUCACUGCAUUGUCCUCACGGCACUUGGGAGCCAGGGGAACUGACACGUGAUGUUCAUACUUACUGCUAUUCUCGGAGUAACAAAAAAAAAAUUCACUUUCUUCGACCAGGAGACAUCAUGUUUUCUACCAGCAUUCUUGAAACUAUGGCAAGUUAACUAGUUAUCAGGUAAGU
RNAcentral lists this long non-coding RNA (971 nucleotides) under Homo sapiens (human). RNAcentral describes it as "HSALNT0325103". Lineage: Eukaryota; Metazoa; Chordata; Mammalia; Primates; Hominidae. The record is from RNAcentral.